RNAcentral lists this ribosomal RNA (1633 nucleotides) under Klebsiella sp. KV-3. RNAcentral's name for it is "bacterial SSU rRNA". It matches the Rfam family "Bacterial small subunit ribosomal RNA". Lineage: Bacteria; Pseudomonadati; Pseudomonadota; Gammaproteobacteria; Enterobacterales; Enterobacteriaceae. The record is from RNAcentral.
CACGUAAUUCAUUACGAAGUUUAAUUCUUUGAGCAUCAAACUUAAAUUGAAGAGUUUGAUCAUGGCUCAGAUUGAACGCUGGCGGCAGGCCUAACACAUGCAAGUCGAGCGGUAGCACAGAGAGCUUGCUCUCGGGUGACGAGCGGCGGACGGGUGAGUAAUGUCUGGGAAACUGCCUGAUGGAGGGGGAUAACUACUGGAAACGGUAGCUAAUACCGCAUAACGUCGCAAGACCAAAGUGGGGGACCUUCGGGCCUCAUGCCAUCAGAUGUGCCCAGAUGGGAUUAGCUAGUAGGUGGGGUAACGGCUCACCUAGGCGACGAUCCCUAGCUGGUCUGAGAGGAUGACCAGCCACACUGGAACUGAGACACGGUCCAGACUCCUACGGGAGGCAGCAGUGGGGAAUAUUGCACAAUGGGCGCAAGCCUGAUGCAGCCAUGCCGCGUGUGUGAAGAAGGCCUUCGGGUUGUAAAGCACUUUCAGCGGGGAGGAAGGCGUUAAGGUUAAUAACCUUGNCGAUUGACGUUACCCGCAGAAGAAGCACCGGCUAACUCCGUGCCAGCAGCCGCGGUAAUACGGAGGGUGCAAGCGUUAAUCGGAAUUACUGGGCGUAAAGCGCACGCAGGCGGUCUGUCAAGUCGGAUGUGAAAUCCCCGGGCUCAACCUGGGAACUGCAUUCGAAACUGGCAGGCUAGAGUCUUGUAGAGGGGGGUAGAAUUCCAGGUGUAGCGGUGAAAUGCGUAGAGAUCUGGAGGAAUACCGGUGGCGAAGGCGGCCCCCUGGACAAAGACUGACGCUCAGGUGCGAAAGCGUGGGGAGCAAACAGGAUUAGAUACCCUGGUAGUCCACGCCGUAAACGAUGUCGAUUUGGAGGUUGUGCCCUUGAGGCGUGGCUUCCGGAGCUAACGCGUUAAAUCGACCGCCUGGGGAGUACGGCCGCAAGGUUAAAACUCAAAUGAAUUGACGGGGGCCCGCACAAGCGGUGGAGCAUGUGGUUUAAUUCGAUGCAACGCGAAGAACCUUACCUGGUCUUGACAUCCACAGAACUUUCCAGAGAUGGAUUGGUGCCUUCGGGAACUGUGAGACAGGUGCUGCAUGGCUGUCGUCAGCUCGUGUUGUGAAAUGUUGGGUUAAGUCCCGCAACGAGCGCAACCCUUAUCCUUUGUUGCCAGCGGUCCGGCCGGGAACUCAAAGGAGACUGCCAGUGAUAAACUGGAGGAAGGUGGGGAUGACGUCAAGUCAUCAUGGCCCUUACGACCAGGGCUACACACGUGCUACAAUGGCAUAUACAAAGAGAAGCGACCUCGCGAGAGCAAGCGGACCUCAUAAAGUAUGUCGUAGUCCGGAUUGGAGUCUGCAACUCGACUCCAUGAAGUCGGAAUCGCUAGUAAUCGUAGAUCAGAAUGCUACGGUGAAUACGUUCCCGGGCCUUGUACACACCGCCCGUCACACCAUGGGAGUGGGUUGCAAAAGAAGUAGGUAGCUUAACCUUCGGGAGGGCGCUUACCACUUUGUGAUUCAUGACUGGGGUGAAGUCGUAACAAGGUAACCGUAGGGGAACCUGCGGUUGGAUCACCUCCUUACCUUAAAGAACCUGCCUUUGUAGUGCUCACACAGAUUGUCUGAUGAAAAA